CGUUAGAAUAUUGAGAAGAUCUGUCCUUAGUACGAGAGGACCGGGAUGGACAAACCUCUGAUGUACCAGUUGUCACGCCAGUGGCACAGCUGGGUAGUCACGUUUGGAACGGAUAACCGCUGAAAGCAUCUAAGCGGGAAACCAGCUUCAAGAUAAGUAUUCUUUAAGACUCCUUCGAGACUAGAAGGUUGAUAGGUUGGGGGUGUAAGGGCUGCGAGGCUUUUAGCUGACCAAUACUAAUAAGUCAAAGUUUUAACCUA
Fusobacterium varium ATCC 27725 is the source of this 260-nucleotide ribosomal RNA. It matches the Rfam family "Bacterial large subunit ribosomal RNA", at positions 2652 to 2925 of the family's 2925-position model. Lineage: Bacteria; Fusobacteriati; Fusobacteriota; Fusobacteriia; Fusobacteriales; Fusobacteriaceae. The record is from Rfam.